UACGUAGGGUGCGAGCGUUAAUCGGAAUUACUGGGCGUAAAGCGUGCGCAGGCGGUUAUGCAAGACAGAUGUGAAAUCCCCGGGCUUAACCUGGGAACUGCAUUUGUGACUGCAUAGCUGGAGUACGGCAGAGGGGGAUGGAAUUCCGCGUGUAGCAGUGAAAUGCGUAGAUAUGCGGAGGAACACCGAUGGCGAAGGCAGUCCCCUGGGCCUGUACUGACGCUCAUGCACGAAAGCGUGGGGAGCAAACAGG
This 253-nucleotide ribosomal RNA is filed under the name uncultured bacterium. RNAcentral describes it as "partial 16S ribosomal RNA". It matches the Rfam family "Bacterial small subunit ribosomal RNA", at positions 524 to 776 of the family's 1533-position model. The record is from RNAcentral.